Molecule: ribosomal RNA, 1949 nt
Filed under: Escherichia coli
Lineage: Bacteria; Pseudomonadati; Pseudomonadota; Gammaproteobacteria; Enterobacterales; Enterobacteriaceae
Description: bacterial LSU rRNA
Rfam family: Bacterial large subunit ribosomal RNA
Source: RNAcentral
UUAAGCGACUAAGCGUACACGGUGGAUGCCCUGGCAGUCAGAGGCGAUGAAGGACGUGCUAAUCUGCGAUAAGCGUCGGUAAGGUGAUAUGAACCGUUAUAACCGGCGAUUUCCGAAUGGGGAAACCCAGUGUGAUUCGUCACACUAUCAUUAACUGAAUCCAUAGGUUAAUGAGGCGAACCGGGGGAACUGAAACAUCUAAGUACCCCGAGGAAAAGAAAUCAACCGAGAUUCCCCCAGUAGCGGCGAGCGAACGGGGAGGAGCCCAGAGCCUGAAUCAGUGUGUGUGUUAGUGGAAGCGUCUGGAAAGGCGCGCGAUACAGGGUGACAGCCCCGUACACAAAAAUGCACAUACUGUGAGCUCGAUGAGUAGGGCGGGACACGUGGUAUCCUGUCUGAAUAUGGGGGGACCAUCCUCCAAGGCUAAAUACUCCUGACUGACCGAUAGUGAACCAGUACCGUGAGGGAAAGGCGAAAAGAACCCCGGCGAGGGGAGUGAAAAAGAACCUGAAACCGUGUACGUACAAGCAGUGGGAGCCUCUUUAUGGGGUGACUGCGUACCUUUUGUAUAAUGGGUCAGCGACUUAUAUUCUGUAGCAAGGUUAACCGAAUAGGGGAGCCGAAGGGAAACCGAGUCUUAACUGGGCGUUAAGUUGCAGGGUAUAGACCCGAAACCCGGUGAUCUAGCCAUGGGCAGGUUGAAGGUUGGGUAACACUAACUGGAGGACCGAACCGACUAAUGUUGAAAAAUUAGCGGAUGACUUGUGGCUGGGGGUGAAAGGCCAAUCAAACCGGGAGAUAGCUGGUUCUCCCCGAAAGCUAUUUAGGUAGCGCCUCGUGAAUUCAUCUCCGGGGGUAGAGCACUGUUUCGGCAAGGGGGUCAUCCCGACUUACCAACCCGAUGCAAACUGCGAAUACCGGAGAAUGUUAUCACGGGAGACACACGGCGGGUGCUAACGUCCGUCGUGAAGAGGGAAACAACCCAGACCGCCAGCUAAGGUCCCAAAGUCAUGGUUAAGUGGGAAACGAUGUGGGAAGGCCCAGACAGCCAGGAUGUUGGCUUAGAAGCAGCCAUCAUUUAAAGAAAGCGUAAUAGCUCACUGGUCGAGUCGGCCUGCGCGGAAGAUGUAACGGGGCUAAACCAUGCACCGAAGCUGCGGCAGCGACACUAUGUGUUGUUGGGUAGGGGAGCGUUCUGUAAGCCUGUGAAGGUGUACUGUGAGGUAUGCUGGAGGUAUCAGAAGUGCGAAUGCUGACAUAAGUAACGAUAAAGCGGGUGAAAAGCCCGCUCGCCGGAAGACCAAGGGUUCCUGUCCAACGUUAAUCGGGGCAGGGUGAGUCGACCCCUAAGGCGAGGCCGAAAGGCGUAGUCGAUGGGAAACAGGUUAAUAUUCCUGUACUUGGUGUUACUGCGAAGGGGGGACGGAGAAGGCUAUGUUGGCCGGGCGACGGUUGUCCCGGUUUAAGCGUGUAGGCUGAUUUUCCAGGCAAAUCCGGAAAAUCAAGGCUGAGGCGUGAUGACGAGGCACUACGGUGCUGAAGCAACAAAUGCCCUGCUUCCAGGAAAAGCCUCUAAGCAUCAGGUAACAUCAAAUCGUACCCCAAACCGACACAGGUGGUCAGGUAGAGAAUACCAAGGCGCUUGAGAGAACUCGGGUGAAGGAACUAGGCAAAAUGGUGCCGUAACUUCGGGAGAAGGCACGCUGAUAUGUAGGUGAAGCGACUUGCUCGUGGAGCUGAAAUCAGUCGAAGAUACCAGCUGGCUGCAACUGUUUAUUAAAAACACAGCACUGUGCAAACACGAAAGUGGACGUAUACGGUGUGACGCCUGCCCGGUGCCGGAAGGUUAAUUGAUGGGGUUAGCGGUAACGCGAAGCUCUUGAUCGAAGCCCCGGUAAACGGCGGCCGUAACUAUAACGGUCCUAAGGUAGCGAAAUUCCUUGUCGGGU